RNAcentral lists this ribosomal RNA (253 nucleotides) under uncultured bacterium. RNAcentral describes it as "partial 16S ribosomal RNA". It matches the Rfam family "Bacterial small subunit ribosomal RNA", at positions 524 to 776 of the family's 1533-position model. The record is from RNAcentral.
UACGUAGGGCCCAAGCAUUAUCCGGAAUUACUGGGCGUAAAGAGUGCGUAGGUGUUCCUUCAAGUCGGUCGUUAAAUCUUAGAGCUUAACUCUAAGGCCGCGAGCGAUACUGAAGGAAUUGAGUACUGCAGGGGCAAGCAGAAUUUUUGGAGUAGGGGUGAAAUCCGUUGAUAGCAAAAGGAAUACCAAUGGCGAAGGCAGCUUGCUAGGCAGAUACUGACACUGAGGCACGAAAGCGUGGGGAGCAAACGGG